Molecule: long non-coding RNA, 2280 nt
Organism: Thunnus maccoyii (southern bluefin tuna)
Lineage: Eukaryota; Metazoa; Chordata; Actinopteri; Scombriformes; Scombridae
Exons: 3
Source: RefSeq, a predicted model, not a curated record
CAAUUAGUAGUGCAGGAGGGAUUCAUGUUGAGGCACCUGUCACUGGCUGAAUCUCUGUUUACAGGUUUGGCCAAAAGAACUAUGGCAACAGCGUUUAGCGGGGAGACAGAAUACGAUCAACAGCAACGUGGAUGUGCUGUUCCAGCCAACAUCUGGGGUGUUGUUAUAAAUCCUACAAAUCAGUCUGAAUGUCUGAGUGUCAUGGUUACUGAGCUAAAAGAGGAUCAUCAGCAGAGGGCUUCUAUUAAAGAGGCAGAGUGAGCCUCACCAUGCCUCCUUUGUUCGGCUGACUCAUGGAUGGGGAAUGGAACUGUUGUGUGCUGUGGAAAGUUUUCACCAUGAAAACAGAAAGACAGUCCACUCCAGGCUGCAGGAGCUGAACAAAGAGAGUCUUUAAACAUGCCAGUCCAGUCAGUGGAUAGUCCAGUACGGAGUCAAACUGAGUACAGUGGAGUAGGGAUCUACUGCUUGACAUGCAGAGACUCUGGUGUGACUGUAAGAAGCCAUGGAGACCCUUCUCCCUUCAGGGAAGGACUGGGGGAGACACUGGCUGUCCACUGUGGGGGCCAGCAGGUCUUCAGAGGUGUCACCUCCACACAAUGUGACAAACCCCUCUGGUAUGACCCUUCUUCACACCCCCUAUCCCCUUUCCUUCCACGUUCUUAGACAAAUGAGUGAAGACCCCGACCCAGGCGCUACCACAGGCAAGGACGGAGACUGCGUGGACUCCGCCAGUCACGGCUUCUCGCUCCAUCACUUCACACUUAUAUCCCCCCUGCGCUUUUCUCCGUCCCCUUCCUUUUUUCUUUUUUUCUCAGGCUUCAGGCUCUCACUGCUCAUUUUGUGACUACAGGACUUUUACCAGGGUCUCGCCCAGACAUACGCCACAUGUCACCCUGCCGUCCGUGGCCACACUGCCUGAAGGCAGAUAGUAGUCUGAAGCUUGAACUGGAGAAGCACUGUGACAGAUUCCCAACAACCCUUCCUCUGUCUUAUUCUUUAUCUCUUACUCUGUUUAUAUCCACCUUUAUCUCUCUUUAUCUCUCAUGUGUGUAUCAAACUAUCUGUAACUGUCCUCUCUUGUGCGCUUUACUGUAGAUUAAAUGGAUUAUGUCCGCUUACUUUUUCUCAAUUUUACUCCUUUAGCAUAAUGAAGGUAGAGCUAAUAUUGAGGAAUGCAAAAAAAAAAAAAAAAAAAAACCCUCAUGGACUAAUCUUGUGCUGAGUACAGCCAUGAUAAUGAUGAUGGAUUAGAAAUACAGCAGCGUAUUGGGAUUACAGUGCUAUUAACUGGCCAGGGGAGGAGGAUGAGGAGGCAGACCAGUAUCUAGCUAAUCAAUCAAAUAAUCGGGACAAGCCCUUGUCUAGUAGAAACAAUUAGACCACUUCUCCAAAAUCAAUAGCCCUGCAUUUUGUUUAGAUACCCACUGGUCACUCAUUCAAUAAAGCCUCUGUGGGUUUUGAUAAGCCUGCCAGUCGGCAAGGGCCAUUUGAGGCUCUGAGUGGGAACAAAACACAUCAAACAGGCUCCAGGAAGGCCUCAUAAAAAUUGCAAAUCGAAAACAAUAUAAUUUAAUGUGGCAAAGGUUAUUUUUCCACUUGUUCAUUAUCAAAUGUCUCAUGUGAAAGCAUUGCUAUGAAGCCGGAAAAAAUCUAUUUUGUCUCGAGUGUUUGGGGAAAACAGGAGGGACAUGUAUUAUGUCUAAAGGAAAACAAAAUAAUGAUGGAAUCAGAGGGGUUCAUAAAGUUGCUCUGAGAAAUAGUCCUGGUAGUAGAGGCGUCUCCUGUUUCUAGCACAGCUUCCAUACAUAAUUAAAGCAGGAAUUUGUAUCUGUCUGCACUCUGUGGCCUCCUGAUGAAUUAAUAUCUGGUGGAAGUCCUACACAGCCAUCAGAUUAGCUCAUUUAUUUCUGUCAGCUGCUUGCUCCAUCAGCUAUUUGUAAAUCAGAGAGGGUGGGUGGGUUGAUGGGGGGUGGGGGGGGUUGUUGAGAUUGUUGGACGUGUAUUUAUUAUCAUAAAUGGCUGUUAUGAAUUAGGUCUGAUUCAAACGUCCAGCAUACAGUGCCGCAAGUGUAAGUGCACAGUGAUGACUCUUUUUUUUUUUUUUUUUCCCUGGGAGAAAUGUUAUGUUGACGUUGUUGUGCUAGUUAUACCUUAGCAUCACAGCUGUUCUGGUUCUGCAGGCACAGAGUCUUGAAUGCGAUAUGACAACUUAAUGUUUAUCUAAACAUAAUCUACUUAGAGUUCAGUAUAGUUUUUUUUACAUUUGAUGAGGAUAUG